This 467-nucleotide ribosomal RNA is filed under the name uncultured bacterium. RNAcentral's name for it is "partial 16S ribosomal RNA". It matches the Rfam family "Bacterial small subunit ribosomal RNA", at positions 28 to 507 of the family's 1533-position model. The record is from RNAcentral.
GACGAACGCUGGCGGCGUGCUUAACACAUGCAAGUCGAACGGAAGGCCCUGCUUUUGUGGGGUGCUCGAGUGGCGAACGGGUGAGUAACACGUGAGUAACCUGCCCUUGACUUUGGGAUAACUUCAGGAAACUGGGGCUAAUACCGGAUAGGAGCUCCUGCUGCAUGGUGGGGGUUGGAAAGUUUCGGCGGUUGGGGAUGGACUCUCGGCUUAUCAGCUUGUUGGUGGGGUAGUGGCUUACCAAGGCUUUGACGGGUAGCCGGCCUGAGAGGGUGACCGGCCACAUUGGGACUGAGAUACGGCCCAGACUCCUACGGGAGGCAGCAGUGGGGAAUAUUGCACAAUGGGCGGAGGCCUGAUGCAGCAACGCCGCGUGCGGGAUGACGGCCUUCGGGUUGUAAACCGCUUUCGCCUGUGACGAAGCGUGAGUGACGGUAAUGGGUAAAGAAGCACCGGCUAACUACGUG